RNAcentral lists this transfer RNA (92 nucleotides) under Bacillota bacterium. Its description in RNAcentral is "Firmicutes bacterium (gut metagenome) tRNA-Ser". It matches the Rfam family "tRNA". Rfam says of the family: Transfer RNA (tRNA) molecules are approximately 80 nucleotides in length. Their secondary structure includes four short double-helical elements and three loops (D, anti-codon, and T loops). The record is from RNAcentral. Lineage: Bacteria; Bacillati; Bacillota.
GGAGAGGUGGUCGAGAUGGUUUAAGGCGCAGCAUUGGAAAUGCUGUGUACGUUGAUAGCGUACCGAGGGUUCGAAUCCCUUCCUCUCCUCCA